UNUGAAGUUAAAGGCUGUGGCUUAACCAUAGUACGCUUUGGAAACUGUUUAACUUGAGUGCAGAAGGGGAGAGUGGAAUUCCAUGUGUAGCGGUGAAAUGCGUAGAUAUAUGGAGGAACACCGGUGGCGAAAGCGGCUCUCUGGUCUGUAACUGACGCUGAGGCUNGAAAGCGUGGGGAGCGAACAGGAUUAGAUACCCUGGUAGUNCACGCCGUAAACGAUGAGUGCUAGGUGUUAGGCCCUUUCCGGGGCUUAGUGCCGCAGCUAACGCAUUAAGCACUCCGCCUGGGGAGUACGACCGCAAGGUUGAAACUCAAAGGAAUUGACGGGGGCCCGCACAAGCGGUGGAGCAUGUGGUUUAAUUCGAAGCAACGCGAAGAACCAUACCAGGUCUUGACAUCCCGAUGCCCGCUCUAGAGAUAGAGUUUUACUUCGGUACAUCGGUGACAGGUGGUGCAUGGUUGUCGUCAGCUCGUGUCGUGAGAUGUUGGGUUAAGUCCCGCAACGAGCGCAACCCUUAUUGUUAGUUGCCAUCAUUCAGUUGGGCACUCUAGCGAGACUGCCGGUAAUAAACCGGAGGAAGGUGGGGAUGACGUCAAAUCAUCAUGCCCCUUAUGACCUGGGCUACACACGUGCUGCAAUGGCUGGUACAACGAGUCGCAAGUCGGUGACGGCAAGCUAAUCUCUUAAAGCCAGUCUCAGUUCGGAUGUAGGCUGCAACUCGCCUACAUGAAGUCGGAAUCGCUAGUAAUCGCGGAUCAGCACGCCGCGGUGAAUACGUUCCCGGGCCUUGUACACACCGCCCGUCACACCACGAGAGUUUGUAACACCCGAAGUCGGUGAGGUANCCUUUUAGGAGCCA
RNAcentral lists this ribosomal RNA (862 nucleotides) under uncultured bacterium. RNAcentral describes it as "bacterial SSU rRNA". It matches the Rfam family "Bacterial small subunit ribosomal RNA", at positions 588 to 1451 of the family's 1533-position model. The record is from RNAcentral.